This 270-nucleotide unclassified non-coding RNA is filed under the name Hevea brasiliensis (rubber tree). The record is from RNAcentral. Lineage: Eukaryota; Viridiplantae; Streptophyta; Magnoliopsida; Malpighiales; Euphorbiaceae.
GUUCGUGGUAUAGCCUCAAAAGCCAUAGCAGCAGCUUCAUAAGGCUACUGUUUUACAAUCAUAAAACAUAAACAUAAAUUAUAACAUUAAAAUAAUCAUGUCAAGAUACACAACUUUAUUUACCCACAAAUAAUUUUAAAAGAAUUAUUGACAGCUAAAAUCUUUAUUUAACAGUGAUCCUCGUUAUUGAAAAGAUCAUUCACCUUUUCUAGUCCUUCAAUUGCUGAACUCUUUUGCUUCAGAGUGGCAGAGACAGUUAACUCUGUAGCA